GAUGAACGCUGGCGGCGUGCCUAAUACAUGCAAGUCGAGCGAACAGACGAGGAGCUUGCUCCUCUGACGUGAGCGGCGGACGGGUGAGUAACACGUGGAUAACCUACCUAUAAGACUGGGAUAACUUCGGGAAACCGGAGCUAAUACCGGAUAAUAUAUUGAACCGCAUGGUUCAAUAGUGAAAGACGGUUUUGCUGUCACUUAUAGAUGGAUCCGCGCCGCAUUAGCUAGUUGGUAAGGUAACGGCUUACCAAGGCGACGAUGCGUAGCCGACCUGAGAGGGUGAUCGGCCACACUGGAACUGAGACACGGUCCAGACUCCUACGGGAGGCAGCAGUAGGGAACCUUCCGCAAUGGGCGAAAGCCUGACGGAGCAACGCCGCGUGAGUGAUGAAGGUCUUCGGAUCGUAAAACUCUGUUAUUAGGGAAGAACAAAUGUGUAAGUAACUAUGCACGUCUUGACGGUACCUAAUCAGAAAGCCACGGCUAACUACGUG
RNAcentral lists this ribosomal RNA (497 nucleotides) under uncultured bacterium. Its description in RNAcentral is "partial 16S ribosomal RNA". It matches the Rfam family "Bacterial small subunit ribosomal RNA", at positions 28 to 507 of the family's 1533-position model. The record is from RNAcentral.